AUAGUGUUUCCUUGUUAGAAGAUACAAAGCCAAAGACUCAUACGGACUUCAUCUACACCAUCAAAGAUUUGAGAAGCAAGAAGAGGCUUGGUUAGUGUUGUGGAGUCA
RNAcentral lists this small RNA (108 nucleotides) under Arabidopsis thaliana (thale cress). RNAcentral's name for it is "ATSL271290". Lineage: Eukaryota; Viridiplantae; Streptophyta; Magnoliopsida; Brassicales; Brassicaceae. The record is from RNAcentral.